AACGAACGCUGGCGGCAUGCCUAACACAUGCAAGUCGAACGAGACCUUCGGGUCUAGUGGCGCACGGGUGCGUAACGCGUGGGAACCUGCCCUUAGGUUCGGAAUAACUCCCCGAAAGGGGUGCUAAUACCGGAUAAUGUCUUCGGACCAAAGAUUUAUCGCCUUUGGAUGGGCCCGCGUUGGAUUAGCUAGUUGGUAGGGUAAAAGCCUACCAAGGCGACGAUCCAUAGCUGGUCUGAGAGGAUGAUCAGCCACACUGGGACUGAGACACGGCCCAGACUCCUACGGGAGGCAGCAGCGGGGAAUAUUGGACAAUGGGCGAAAGCCUGAUCCAGCAAUGCCGCGUGAGUGAUGAAGGCCUUAGGGUUGUAAAGCUCUUUUACCCGGGAUGAUAAUGACAGUACCGGGAGAAUAAGCUCCGGCUAACUCCGU
Molecule: ribosomal RNA, 432 nt
Filed under: uncultured bacterium
Lineage: Bacteria
Description: partial 16S ribosomal RNA
Rfam family: Bacterial small subunit ribosomal RNA
Source: RNAcentral